This 65-nucleotide transfer RNA is filed under the name Sepioloidea lineolata. RNAcentral describes it as "tRNA-Arg". The record is from RNAcentral. Lineage: Eukaryota; Metazoa; Mollusca; Cephalopoda; Sepiida; Sepiadariidae.
AUAUAAGAAAUGAUCCAUCAUAUAUGAUUUCGACUCAUAAAUAGGUAUUUAUAUACCCUUAUAUU